This 478-nucleotide ribosomal RNA is filed under the name uncultured bacterium. RNAcentral describes it as "partial 16S ribosomal RNA". It matches the Rfam family "Bacterial small subunit ribosomal RNA", at positions 28 to 507 of the family's 1533-position model. The record is from RNAcentral.
GAUGAACGCUGGCGGCGUGCCUAACACAUGCAAGUCGAACGGAGUCCAGCCUUUAAUGCCUUCGGGUCAAGGGGGGGACGACUGAGUGGCGGACGGGUGAGUAACCCGUGGGCAACCUGGCUCAUCGAGGGGGUUAACAGAGAGAAAUUUCUGCUAAUACCCCAUAAGCACACACUGCCGCAUGGCCGAGGGUGAAAAGAGAAUCGCUAUGAGAUGGACCCGCGUCUGAUUAGCCAGGUGGCAGGGUAAUAGCCUACCAAAGCGACGAUCAGUAGCCGAGCUGAGAGGAUGAACGGCCACAGUGGGACUGAGACACGGCCCAAACUCCGACGGGAGGCAGCAGUGGGGGAUAUUGCACAAUGGGGGGAACCCUGAUGAAGCGACGCCGCGUGAGUGAAGAAGUAUUUCGGUAUGUAAAGCUCUAUCAGCAGAGAAGAUAAUGACGGUACCUGAAAAAGAAGCCCCGGCUAACUACGUG